Molecule: ribosomal RNA, 426 nt
Filed under: Nasutitermes costalis
Lineage: Eukaryota; Metazoa; Arthropoda; Insecta; Blattodea; Termitidae
Description: partial 16S ribosomal RNA
Source: RNAcentral
UUACGUUGUUAUCCCUAAGGUAAUUUAAUCUUAUAAUCAAAAUAAAUGGAUCAAAAAUAUAUACAUAAAUAUAUAAAAACAAAGAGGAGUUAAAUAAUAUUCCUCCCAUCACCCCAACAAAACAAUUCACUCCCACUCAAUGUAAAUAAAUACAAACAACGAAUAAAUAGGAAAAUUGUCAAACUCUAUAGGGUCUUCUCGUCCCAUAAAAACAUUUAAGAAUUUUAACUCAAAAACCAAAUUCAAUAAACCAAUACCUCUAAGACAGCUUAUGUCUCGUCAAGCCAUUCAUACCAGAUCACAAUUAAAGAACUAAUGAUUAUGCUACCUUUGCACGGUCAAAAUACCGCGGCCCUUCAACUCUAAGUCAGUGGGCAGGCCAUACUUCAAAAACUAACAAGAAAAGAUGUUUUUGAUAAACAGGCG